UAGUACUACCUCCAUGAUCCCACACUCCUAAUCAUAUGGGCUAAAAUGUUGCACAUUCAAUCUUUGGGAAGAUAUAAAGAAAAAGACAUAUACAUAGAUAGAUUAUCUUUCCAUAAGGUUGAGCGAUCUGAUCUGACAAUUGUUUUAAAUGCUACACUCAUGAACUUAACACCCAUCAACUUUAUCUUGCUCCGUAUGCUUAAGGAUAGAGAAGAAUAAAUAUACUUUUGGUUCUGUUGGUGUUUUCCACCAACAGGACCCAUGCACUUGAUCUCUGCCUUGUCUCUAUGAGCAGGACACAUUUUGAGAAGCAUGGAGGAUUUUUCAAGUCUCAGACUCUACCAAGUGAAGGACCUAGAUCAACGAGCACAAACACACUGAGCAAGAUACUGCCAACGCCGCACUUUGAACUGCUGGGCAAACGAAGAACAUGGGUGACACCAUAUCAAGAGCUGCAGGCGUCAAGGUCCACACCAGAAUCAAAUGACGCACCUAAAGAAUGAACACGGUGAGAAGUCUUGUUCAGAAGACUUAAAACAUUGAACCCUCGCCGAAAGGUAAAAUCGGUAGUUAUCCGUAUUUAUCCUUUCUGCAUUCCCUUUUCCCUUAAAUUAUUUACUUUCCUUAAAUGGCUUGUUAGUUAAUCAUGCUAUCUUGAAAAGAAAAUAAAAAUAUUAAAAAUAGUAAGCCCUAUGUGAGUAUGCUCGUGGCAUAAAAGCCAUAAGUACAUUCACUUUGGUGGCAUAAAAAUAAAAAUAUUCCUGUCCUAUAAAAAGGAAAAUAUAAAAAUAAAUUUAUGAUCCUACCAAAGAGAGUAAAUAUUUAUUAGAGGAAGCUCAGCACGAUAAAGGCAAAGAGAUUUUUAUGCUAACACUUAACCAGUUCCACAAAGCUUUGUUGUCUAUUUGAGCUCCACAGAAUUCAAGUAUCAAAGAAGACAAGCAGACGGAGGACGUCCUAAUCGCUGUCAAGGUAUUGUCGACAUUCAAAUACACCUCCGCCACCUGCUAGUUACAUCAGAAGAAAUUACAUCAAAAUCCAGCU
Molecule: long non-coding RNA, 1044 nt
Filed under: Sorghum bicolor (sorghum)
Lineage: Eukaryota; Viridiplantae; Streptophyta; Magnoliopsida; Poales; Poaceae
Description: long non-coding RNA (SBIC_LNC012790)
Source: RNAcentral